RNAcentral lists this ribosomal RNA (417 nucleotides) under uncultured bacterium. RNAcentral describes it as "bacterial SSU rRNA". It matches the Rfam family "Bacterial small subunit ribosomal RNA", at positions 967 to 1380 of the family's 1533-position model. The record is from RNAcentral.
AACCUUACCCACCCUUGACAUGCACCGGAACCUCCCAGAGAUGGGAGGGUGCCCUUCGGGGAACCGGUGCACAGGUGCUGCAUGGCGGUCGUCAGCUCGUGCCGUGAGGUGUCGGGUUAAGUCCCGUAACGAGCGCAACCCUUGCCCCUAGUUGCCAGCGGUUCGGCCGGGCACGCUAGGGGGACGGCCGGCGAUAAGCCGAAGGAAGGUGGGGAUGACGUCAAGUCAUCAGGGCCCUUCAGGGUGGGGCUACACACGCGCUACCGUGGCCGGCACAGAGGGUUGCGAAGCCGCGAGGCGGAGCCAAUCCCAGAAAGCCGGUCGUAGUCCGGAUGGCAGUCUGCAACUCGACUGCAUGAAGCCGGAGUCGCUAGUAAUCGCGGAUCAGCAACGCCGCGGUGAAUACGUUCCCGGGCC